GCUUACAGCCAUACCACCCUGAACCCGCCUGAUCUCGUCUGGUCUCUGAAGCUAAACAGGGUCGGGCCUGGUUAGUACUUGAAUGGGAGACCACCUGGGAAUACCAGGUGCUGUUUGUG
This 119-nucleotide ribosomal RNA is filed under the name Amphilophus citrinellus (Midas cichlid). Lineage: Eukaryota; Metazoa; Chordata; Actinopteri; Cichliformes; Cichlidae. The record is from RNAcentral.